AUUAUAUUGACACAGGGGUUGCAGCGUCUUCGAUGGUGCAUCUAGAGGUGGUGCACGGUGACAACGAGGUAGAGCUUUGAAGUGAUCCUGAAAUGAAAUGCAUAGAUGUCUCAUUUGCGAAUGUUGGCGCGGUGACAAAACUCAGACGAGUUGGUGGUUAUAGUGGCCCUCUUGUCAGUUCCUAGCAUGAUUCGACAUUUGGCGAGCAGAUGGCCGUCUGCAAGUCUGAAAAUGAGUGUAGCAUUGUUCGGAUCAAUUUAGUCCAGCAGGUUCUCUUCAGUAUAGUUAAAUUGAAAAUACUGGUAGAAGAAAGCAAUUUAUUUACAUGGACAGAAGUUGUUCUGCGAUAUGGAAGAUAAGAGCGUGUUCUAUGGAUAUUAAUGGUGAUAGCAAAGUACUGUUCUUGACUACAGGUCUUGAGGACCCAAAUUUAUGAAUGCUCAAGUAAAAUGGCUGAUGAAAGAGUAAAGAGAAGUCAAUAUUUCUGGUGUCCAGUCGAUGAUUUGAGUAUGUACAGCCUAGUGUAUGAACAAAGAACAAACGAAUGAAAAAAUGGUAAUCUAGAAAAGAUAAAGUAGAAAUUUCAAAAGUGGCAGGAGAAAAAUAACAACAGACCAGGUGUUGAUCUAUCUGGUAUACAGUGAGAAAGGGAACAUAAUUGGUAUUUGUAAGAUGACUAAACUGCUGACUAUUAAGUAGUAUGAAUAAAACAAGAAUUUUUUAUAUGUUAAGCAUGGAUAGAACAAUAGUAUAAAUAAGAAAAUCUGUAUGCAACUUUCGUUCGUAUCAUCACAAAAUUACAGUUGUAAAUGUAAUUAAAAUGCAUAAGAAAACAACAUUGUAUAUCCUGUAAAAUGGCUGGUGAAGCUCAUGAACAGAUUCUCGUCUAUAUCUUGUGCAUUUGUUCGUAUUACAUGGAUGAAAAAUAUGAGAUGUAAAAGACAUCAACCUACAAUACACCUCUUCCAGAUUUAGUACCAACUUAAAUACAAGAAUGAAGAUCUGGUCUAAAGAGAGUGCCAAUUCUAAGUUCGUGGAGAAUACAUGCAUACCCAGUGUACAUUGUGAGCAAUCAUCAUAUAUCAAUCAUGCAAAAAAUGCAAUCACAUACACACACGUUUAUUUUCAUCAGCACAACACAGUGAUCCCAUGUAAUCAACGAUACUUGUUGUCACAGCCCUUGCCUGACUCUGCAUAAGCAUUCAUGCAUCAUGUCUAAAUUCAAAUGAAAUUUUGAAUUGGGGAUGUUCAAACCCUAGCAGAUAAUAAUUUUAACUAGGUUCAAUUCAAAUAUUUUCAUUGGACCCAAAAUGCCCUCCAAAAAUGUUCAUUAUUUCUGGGAAAAGGUUAAAACCUUAAUCAGAGGUCAUGCACAUUUUUCCAAUGCAUUUAUGGUUUUUGAAUUAAUUCAUAAUUGUAUUUGAGUUGGAGCAAAUAAAUUCUAUAAAUAUUUUCAUUGCUCCAAUAAUCCUGGAAUAUUUUGUGGAGCUCUAGGAUAAACCUUAAUGCAUCCACAAUAAUUUCCAGAGAGCUGCAAAAUAAUUUGGUUAAGAAACCAAAUUAAAACAAAAACUGCAAAAUAGAAAACAGAAAUUAAAUUAGAGGAGAGAGAGAGACCUACCUGGCGCCUACCUGUGCGGCCUGCUGCAGAAGCCGGCCCACCCCAUCUCCACUUUCCCCUGUCGUCUUCCCCGCGCCAGUAGGCAGCGCGCGUGGCCGACGGGCGCCGACGCUGCCUCGGCCACCUCCUGCUUCCCCGGCCACCUCCUGCUUCCCCGGCCCCUUCUAACGACGUCUGGAGGCGCCACGCAGCCCCCUGGUCCCUCUCGCUCACUCCCUCGAGCUCAUCCCCCUCCUCUGUUCUCUCUCUCGCACGCAGCCACCGAACCCACCCGCCACCGCCGUUCGUUGCCGCUGUGGCCACAGCCACUGCCUCGCCCCGCCGAUGCUCUCAGAGGCGCCACCGCCACCUACUCUCCCUCCUCUCCGAGCUACAUGAGCCAGGACGGCCCCAAGACGACGCUUGCGGCCUUCUUCUCCGACCACGGCCGCCGGAUGCCGCCGUCCGAUUCGCCGUCUCCAUCGCCUCCCCGAGCACGCCGACCUUCUCUUCGAACUCACCGUGAGCCCCUGUCCAUUUCCCCUCUCUCCCCGUGCCCGUCCGCGCCUUCUAACCACCGUGGCUGUCGAAGCCGACAGUUCCUCGCCGCUGGCGAUGACGCAGAUGAGGCUAGAGCCACCGUAGCUAACUCCCGAGCACGGCAACGUGCUCAGCACUCUUCCAGGAGCCGGGCGCGCCCACCCGUGCGACCUGCCAUGCCCCCUAGCGCCAACCCCGACCUCGCCCGUGCUCCGGCCGCCGCCUUGUUCGCCGCCGUCGCCAAGUCCGACCUCCCCAGCACGAACGGAUGCCACGAUUCGAUGCGCGCGAGCCUGGGCAUCCCGUAGAGCCCCUCCGCCGCUCUUUUGGUCAUCGGAGGGCGAAUCCCGACGCUCUCCGCCGUCCCUGGCCUCGCCGGCGACGAGCCUCGGGUCAACUCCGGCGAGUUUGACCCGGGUUUGACCCCAGUUUGACUCCCCCUGACUCAAUGACAGGUGGGGCCCAGCUCUGUUAGUUAAUUAGGAUUAGUACUAAUUGAAUUAGUUAAACUAAUUACCCCUGCUGACACUGACAGUGGGCCCCGUGGCUAUUAAUUUGAUUAGUUAGAAUUAAUUAACUUUGUUAGUCACUUGUGUCACUGACGUGUGGACCCCGCUGGUCAGGUUUGACCCGGACCAGCCCCUGUUGACCUGUGACGUCAUGCCAACGUCAUGCUGACGCAAUAAUUCCUUUCUGGAAUUUAAAUAAAUCUUAAAUGAUUUAAUAUUUUCAGAAAAUGUCCAAAACUUCUAAAAAUCAUAUAAAAUCAACCGUAACUCCAAAUGAGAUAAAUUAUAUAUGAAAAAUUAUCAGAAAAAUUCAAGGAACCCAUCUGUACCAUUUUCAUGCAUGUUUGAACAAUGUUUGUCCUCUGUUUUGGACAAAACAAAUAAAGGGCAUUUAAAUAACCAUAUAUGGAGUUGGAAUUUGAAUCAUGUAUUCGAACCAACUUCAUUUAAAUCAUAGCUAGGUGCAUUAGCCCAAAACACAUUCAUAUUGCCAUGUCAUAGCAUGCAUCAUAUUGUGCAUUGCAUUGAUCGUGUUUCUUCUGUGUUUGCCGGUGUUGUUCCCCCUCGAUAGACGUUGCACCGAUGAUGUGAUCGUUGACACUGAUGAAGACUCAAUGCUAUCUUCAAAAGUGCCAGGCAAGCAAACCCCCCCUUGUUCAUUCCGAUACAAUCCUACUCUCUCGCUCCUGCUCUCUUUUACUGCAUUACGACAACAACGAUUCAUCUGUUACUUGCUGCGGUAGCUGAACCCCUUUAUCCUCUGCAUGACCUGUCAUUGCCACAGUAAAUAGAUGAAACCCACUAGCAUGAGUAGGAGUUGUUUGAGCCUGUUGUGCCUACUCAUUCAUGCUUGUUUGUCAUGCCUGCUACUGCUUAGAGUUGAGUCAGGUCUGAUCCAUCGGGGAUGAAUUGGAGGUGUGUAAACACGUCCUUCUGUGUGUGAGCUAAGUGUGUGAACACGAUUUGGUAAAGGUAGCGGUGAGAGGCCAUGUAGGAGUACAUGGUGGGUUGUCUCAUUGCAGCCGUCCUCAGGAACUGAGUUCUGUGUUUGUGAUCCAUGAUUCAGCUACUACCACGCAUUGGGCCCGAAACCAAUGGACCCUCUUGGCUUCUUAAUCACCCUUGUCCUCUGUCCAGGAGUUGCAAGUAGUUUCUGGUGUUUGUAGUAUGCUGGAGGUCGUGGGCAGCGCUGACCGGAGGGGUGGGCUGUGAUGCGGUAGGCACGUGGCACGGUGUACCGGGCGCCCGUUUGGUGUCUCGGGAACCCUGUUCACAUUGUUUGGGGCUGUGAGCGAAACCCCGGCCGGAUCUCCUCAUGGAUGGAACCCGAAUAGGCGAUAAACCUGGACUAGAGACUUGAGUGAUUAGGUAGGUCGUGGCCGACACCCACUUUGGGCUUCCGCUUGAAGGUUGCCGAGUACAUGUCGUGUAAACGGCGGUAAGUGGUGAGAGCGUGUGUGAAGAAGUACACCCCUGCAGGGUUAACAUCAUCUAUUCGAAUAGCCGUGUCCGCGGCAAAGGACUUCUUGGUUGCUUAUAUCAGUUCAUAGACAAGUGAAAGUGGAUACUUUAAAAUACGCAAGAUAAGCGUGAGUGCUACGGAUGGCGUUCUCGUAGGGAGACGGGAGCGGAUCCAUAGUGGUGUAUUGAUAUGGUGAAUAUGUGGACUCGUGUGCGCCACCUCAAAAGAGUCACUUGCAGUCGUAGUUUAGGUUAGCCACCGAGUCAAAGCUGGCUUGCUGCAGUUAAACCCCACCAUCCCCUUUGUUGAUAAUGAUGCAUAUGUAGUUAGUUCUGAUGUAAGUCUUGCUGGGUACAUUUGUACUCACGUUUGCCUAUUUUAUGUUUUUGCAGAGAGACUUCAGUCUCACUAGUAGUUUCGCGUGGACUUCGACGUUUAGCUUGUUACCUCAGCUACGAUCUUGUGCCUCGGCAGGAUUUGGUAGAUAGUCAGGCUUCUCAGCCUUUUUCAUUUAUAGAUGUCUGUACUCAGACAUGAUAGCUUCCGCUUGUGUUUUGACUUGUAUGCUCUGAAUGUUGGGUUGUAGGACCCCUGUUUGUAAUAUCUCGCUCCUCGGAGCCUAAUGAAUAAAUACUUGAGUUGUAGAGUCAUGUUGUGAUGCCAUGUUGUAUUUGCACAUAUCGAGCAUAUUGUGUGUAUGUUAUUGAAAUGCUUGGUAUGUGUGGGAUCUGACUAUCUAGUUGUUUAUCUUUAGUAGCCUCUCUUACCGGGAAAUGUCUCCUAGUGUUUCCACCGAGCCAUGGUAGCUUGCUACUGCUCCGGAACACUUAGGCUGGCCGGCAUGUGUCCUUCUUCGUUGCUGUGUCUGUCCCCUCGGGGAAAUGUCACGCGAUGAAUACCGGAGUCCUGUUAGCCCGCUACAGCCCGGUUCACCGAAGUCCUGCUAGCCCAGUGCUACAGCCUGGAUUCACUCGCUGAUGACCGACACGUUCGAUGCUGGGUCAUGGAUGCCUGUCCCUGUAAGUUUGUGCCACUUUGGGUUUACGACUAGCCAAGUCAGCCCGGGCUCCUUAUCAUAUGGAUGCUAGCGACACUAUCAUAUACGUGUGCCAAAAGGCGCAAACGGUCCCGGGCAAAGGUAAGGCGACACCCGUGGAAUACCGUGCGUGAGGCCGCAAAGUGAUAUGAGGUGUUACAUGCUAGAUCGAUGUGGCAUUGAGUCGGGGUCCUGACAGCGUUGGUAUCAGAGCUUGACUGCCUGUAGGAUUACCAAGCCAAACUGGUCGAAGUUGAGUCUAGAAAUUCUUUAGUUAUGUAAGGGAAUUGAUUGUGGGAUGGAACGUAAGGCUCUUUUUACUCCUUAUACCUCAUGGCCCUCUGAUCUGAGUCAUCCUCUUCUCUUCUACGGGGACUAGGAACUAGGCUUUCUCUUCUUUCUAUCAGGAUCACGUGUUACUAAUCCGUAGACUUAUAAGAUUGUUGGAUUUAAGUUUGAGUUCAGUUCCUACGACUUCUGUAUGUUAACUGUUGAUCUCAAAACCUUGGUAUUGUGCUUCUGAGUGGCUAUGCCACCAUUUUUGUAGCAUGUCUCAAAUCUUUUUGAGCAUUUAUAGCCGUUAUGCUGUCCGAGUCAUCCCAGGUUUCUAAACAGUCUGAUGCAUUUGCAAAUCCUUUCUUCCCGUUCCCGAUGUCCUUUUGGUCAGAUUAAUCACACAAAUUAGUGAGUUGAGGUACUUUAUUGCCUCGACAUAUAUGUUGGAGUUAAUAAUUAUGACCCUAAGUGCUUAGGGGAUCAUCUAGUGGUUUAGCCAUGUUUUGUGUUCCCCGUGUGAUGAAUCUGGCCAUCAUUCUCGAAAGCAUCCCGUGAUGUUAUUAGUUAGUAGGUAUUCCAUUCCGGGGUUCUUGAACCCGAGAUUCACCCUUCUUACCUCAAGUUGAUAGUGUUUGCUAGUUUCUUUAGGAUAUUAGUAACCUUUGCGAUAGUCCUUGAGGUCCGUGGUAUUUCCUUCUUCCAAAUACUAUGAACCACUUAUGGAAGAAGUUUGUUGGAUUAAAGGAUCACAAUGGGAGUGCUCUCGAUGAGUUCUCCAUGCUAUAUUGUGACUCUGCCAGUCCUAACCUUCUGCAUGGGUUAUCCAGAAGAAAUAUGUUGAACUCGUUCGACAUGCUAAUCCAUGCAUCCACAACUCAGAAAGUCAUAUGUUCCUUUGAGUUGUCCCUCUUUGCUUGUCUUCUGACCCCGUCUAUCAAUUGAUAGUCAGGAGUAGUCGCGCAUCCGUGGUCAACGAUGCCUUUUACUUCUGUGGUCCGUCAAGCCAUUCUAUCCGGAAUGACUAGGAGAAACAAACUCCAGUACCUCAUCCAUAUCCAGGAUUGGGUCAAAGAAGUUGUGCUCUGCAGAUCAAAUUGCUAAUCCAGCUUUUGCUCUAUUCUACCUUGGAGUAUUACCAUCUUUUAUAUCGGGAUUAUUAUAGGAACUGCACACCAUCCUAUGAACUCUUGGUACAGUGAUACUUCUUGCCAUCAUUGUUCAUUCCUCGGUUCCUAUGUUAUUGUAACCGGAAUGCCGACAAGUGAAUCGUGGUGUGUGAAAUCAAUACUGCUAGCAACCUUGUUGCUUAGUAGUUAAAUGGACAAUAACCUCAUUCUUAACGUGUUGGUUCUUGAAUCAUCAUUCUAAGAUUGAUCGUGCUACCUUGUCCAUCUUCCUGGUGCACAUUUCGAUUGAUGAGUUAGGAUUUUGUGAAGUCCUCGCUCAUUUGAUCAUAUCGUCUUGCCCUGAAAAGCAAGAUUGUUCUCGAUCUUAGUAACAUACCGGUGGUUCGUGAUUUUCCAAAUAUCUUCUCGAAAGUAUCACCAGGUUGUCACCUGACCGUUAUGUUGAGCUCGUGAUCAAGUUGGUUUAUCCUGUAAACCACCCUUUCUCCAAGAAUCCGUGUUGGAUACCCCUGAGCUAGUUGGUUAAGCUAUGCAUCAACUUGGAGAGUUGGAAGAUAGAAGCUUGUCCGGUAUAGUUCAUUAUAAGGGAUGUCUUGUAUGUGUGUUGAAGAAAGUUGAUAUUUCAUCGACUGACCCUCGUGAUCAGUUGCUGGACCUAUUGUCUUAUCAAUCCUUUGAUUUGAGUGUGGGCUAUCGUCAAAUCAAAUCAGUACCAACGAUGCUCGUAAUGUUGUCUUACUCGUGGUUGAUCCCUGAGCAUCCACCAUUACAUCUUUGGUCUGACCAAUGCUAUCACCGUGUUCACAUGAUGGUGGAAGUCCAGUGAUAUGGAAAUUCCGGUGAGUUGUUGUUGAGCCCAUCAGUAGCAUUUUGUCUCCCCCCAUGAAUCAUGUUGAACAUCAACCUAGUGUUGAAAAUUUUGUAAGCAAUGCCUUCGUGCUCCGUUCAUGAAGCCUAUGUUUGGAUGAAAGUAGUGACUUCCUCUAAUUCAUGUGCAUCUGAUGUAAGUUGCCGCCAUGAAUUCGAGGAAGAUUGUUUUGUUUCCUUUGGAAUCAUCCCAAAUCAGUCAUGCAUACGUGCGAAGUAUUCUGUGGUUCGGAGACUUGCAACCUCCAUUCUAUAUGUGUCCCUAGCACACUAAGCCACUGAUUGACUUGUUCAAGGAAAAGAAGUCUAUGCUUGGGAUCUAAUCCAUGGACUUGCGUAAAGACUUCGAUAUCCUCGAUGAUGGUUCCCUACUAGAACUCGGUAGUGUUUUUAUUAUAAGACUACCAUGUGAUCAUGUUUGUCUGGGACAGCGUGUUCACACGUGUGUAGCAGAACCGGCUCGUGUUUUUGGAGCUUGCUAUCAUAGUUCAUUCCCCGAGAAUCUCGCAACGUCAUCUCGUCGAUUUGUGUUGCAAACUUUCGUUUUUCUUCCUAGACUCGAUGAGUCUGGAAUAUGCUGACACCAACCAGAUCUGAAUCUCAGGCAGAUAUGAUGGUUUGGAACAUUCCCAAGAACUAUAAUAUCGGUCCCUCGGAAACCGGUAAAGUGAAUGUCGUGGCCAACACACCCCGCCGGGAGACCUAUUAUUGUAGUAUCUUGAUUGGAGAAGUUGGCCACCUUCCCAUAAGGACUUCGUAGGAUUUACCUCCGUAACUGUUCCUUAUGGAUUCUAUUGCUCCCGAAGUCCGACUUUUACUUGAUGUUCUAGUUAUCAAACCAUAUCUAUGAAUGGGAUACACUAGCACGUCAAGGAGAACAUUAGAAGCGGAGUGCUAAAUGUGUCUCGGUCGAUCAUCCAGCUUUUAUUUCCUUGGCCCCGCCAAGGGUGAAAUCUGAGAAAGUGUUAUCCUCCUUUGCAUCUGCAUCGUCCAUCGCUAUUCAUCAUGAUAGUAUGUUGUGUUGUUAGCACCCUUGACACGGAUGUUGAUAAAACCUUGAUGAUUGUGGAAAUGCUCAAGUUCUUGAGAGCACGCACAAGCGCUACAUGUUAUCAUCGGCUCUAACUGGGAUUCCUCUCAGUUUCCUCGGCAAUGCUAUGACCUUUUCAAACAGUGAAUUCACUCUUUAUUGUUGGGUUCUUCCCCAGUUACCAGAAUCAUUCCCAGCAUUUGCAUUUUGUUCCCAGCUUGCACCGCCAAUGUGCCAUUCUACCAUGGGUCUCUUCCAUUUCCGGUGGUAAGCAAAUUCAUCCAUUACGUUGUCUUCAACAAGGUAAUCCACAUCAUCCAAGUCCGAGUAUGCCAUUCUACCGACCCCUUCCAAACGAUCGCUCGAGAAUUGCCUUAGGCUGGUUUAAAGAGUUUCAAUGAUCUCUGAAUCAAAGGUAAUUCUUUUUGCCACUUAAGGGGAUAUAUCUACGAGUCACCAUCCCUAAGGUGCCUCGUUGUGGUAUCAUGGCAACUCAACUCCUCGCUACGUUGACAACCAUUCACCACCCCUCGUAAGUGUGGAAUUAUUGUCUACCUAGUGAACCUUCGUCAUCUAUUCCACUCCAUCCUCUAGAUGUGUGCUUCGUCUCUCAGCUCGAGAGAUGUUGCUAUGUCUCAUUCCGAGAGUUAAUCCUGAGUUGUUCGACCUUCGAGAAGAUUGAUCCAUCUAGAGUCUCCCUCUUCUCUCCUUGUCAUGUUAGCUGGAGUUCUCAGAGCAAGACGACAAGACAAAGAUGGUGAUUGAAUCAACGUUCAGUUGAAGUGCAACCUAGAUCGUGAAGAUUGUGUUAGUUUGCAUUCCCCUUUCAUCUUACCCUACGCUUGAAUCUCGGGACGAGAUUUUUGUUUAGUGGGGGUGAGUUGUCACAGCCCUUGCCUGACUCUGCAUAAGCAUUCAUGCAUCAUGUCUAAAUUCAAAUGAAAUUUUGAAUUGGGGAUGUUCAAACCCUAGCAGAUAAUAAUUUUAACUAGGUUCAAUUCAAAUAUUUUCAUUGGACCCAAAAUGCCCUCCAAAAAUGUUCAUUAUUUCUGGGAAAAGGUUAAAACCUUAAUCAGAGGUCAUGCACAUUUUUCCAAUGCAUUUAUGGUUUUUGAAUUAAUUCAUAAUUGUAUUUGAGUUGGAGCAAAUAAAUUCUAUAAAUAUUUUUAUUGCUCCAAUAAUCCUGGAAUAUUUUGUGGAGCUCUAGGAUCAACCUUAAUGCAUCCACAAUAAUUUCCAGAGAGCUGCAAAAUAAUUUGGUUAAGAAACCAACUUAAAACAAAAACUGCAAAAUAGAAAACAGAAAUUAAAUUAGAGGAGAGAGAGAGACCUACCUGGCGCCUACCUGUGCGGCCUGCUGCAGAAGCCGGCCCAGCCCAUCUCCACUUUCCCCUGUCGUCUUCCCCGCGCCAGUAGGCAGCGCGCGUGGCCGACGGGUGCCGACGCUGCCUCGGCCACCUCCUGCUUCCCCGGCCACCUCCUGCUUCCCCGGCCCCUUCUAGCGACGCCUGGAGGCGCCACGCAGCCCCCUGGUCCCUCUUGCUCACUCCCUCGAGCUCAUCCCCCUCCUCUGUUCUCUCUCUCGCACGCAGCCACCGAACCCACCCGCCGCCGCUGUUCGUUGCCGCUGUGGCCACAGCCACUGCCUCGCCCCGCCGAUGCUCUUAGAGGCGCCGCCGCCACCUACUCUCCCUCCUCUCCGAGCUACACAAGCCAGGACGGCCCCAAGACGACGCUUGCGGCCUUCUUCUCCGACCACGGCCGCCGGAUGCCGCCGUCCGAUUCGCCGUCUACACCGCCUCCCCGAGCACGCCGACCUUCUCUUCGAACUCACCGUGGGCCCCUGUCCAUUUCCCCUCUCUCCCUGUGCCCGUCCGCGCCUUCUAACCACCGUGGCUGUCGAAGCCGACAGUUCCUCGCCGUCGGCGAUGACGCAGACGAGGCUAGAGCCACCGUAGCUAACUCCCGAGCACGGCAAUGUGCUCAGCACUCUUCCAGGAGCCGGGCGCGCCCACCCGUGCGACCUGCCGUGCCCCCUAGCGCCAACCCCGACCUCGCCCGUGCUCCGGCCGCCGCCUUGUUCGCCGCCGUCGCCAAGUCCGACCUCCCCAGCACGAACGGAUGCCACGAUUCGAUGCGCGCGAGCCUGGGCAUCCCGUAGAGCCCCUCCGCCGCUCUUUUGGUCAUCGGAGGGCGAAUCCCGACGCUCUCCGCCGUCCCUGGCCUCGCCGGCGACGAGCCUCGGGUCAACUCCGGUGAGUUUGACCCGGGUUUGACCCCAGUUUGACUCCCCCUGACUCAAUGACAGGUGGGGCCCAGCUCUGUUAGUUAAUUAGGAUUAGUACUAAUUGAAUUAGUUAAACUAAUUACCCCUGCUGACACUGACAGUGGGCCCCGUGGCUAUUAAUUUGAUUAGUUAGAAUUAAUUAACUCUGUUAGUCACUUGUGUCACUGACGUGUGGACCCCGCUGGUCAGGUUUGACCCGGACCAGCCCCUGUUGACCUGUGACGUCAUGCCAACGUCAUGCUGACGCAAUAAUUCCUUUCUGGAAUUUAAAUAAAUCUUAAAUGAUUUAAUAUUUUCAGAAAAUGUCCAAAACUUCUAAAAAUCAUAUAAAAUCAACCGUAACUCCAAAUGAGAUAAAUUAUAUAUGAAAAAUUAUCAGAAAAAUUCAAGGAACCCAUCUGUACCAUUUUCAUGCAUGUUUGAACAAUGUUUGUCCUCUGUUUUGGACAAAACAAAUAAAGGGCAUUUAAAUAACCAUAUAUGGAGUUGGAAUUUGAAUCAUGUAUUCGAACCAACUUCAUUUAAAUCAUAGCUAGGUGCAUUAGCCCAAAACACAUUCAUAUUGCCAUGUCAUAGCAUGCAUCAUAUUGUGCAUUGCAUUGAUCGUGUUUCUUCUGUGUUUGCCGGUGUUGUUCCCCCUCGAUAGACGUUGUACCGCUGAUGUGAUCGUUGACACUAAUGAAGACUCAAUGCUAUCUUCAGAAGUGCCAGGCAAGCAAACCCUCCUUGUUCAUUCCGAUACAAUCCUACUCUCUUGCUCCUGCUCUCUUUUACUGCAUUAGGACAACAACGAUUCAUCUGUUACUUGCUGCGGUAGCUGAACCCCUUUAUCCUCUGCAUGACCUGUCAUUGCCACAGUAAAUAGAUGAAACCCACUAGCAUGAGUAGGAGUUGUUUGAGCCUGUUGUGCCUACUCAUUCAUGCUUGUUUGUCAUGCCUGCUACUGCUUAGAGUUGAGUCAGGUCUGAUUCAUCGGGGAUGAAUCGGAGGUGUGUAAACACGUCCUUCUGUGUGUGAGCUAAGUGUGUGAACACGAUUUGGUAAAGGUAGCGGUGAGAGGCCAUGUAGGAGUACAUGGUGGGUUGUCUCAUUGCAGCCGUCCUCAGGAACUGAGUUCUGUGUUUGUGAUCCAUGAUUCAGCUACUACCACGCAUUGGGCCCGAAACCAAUGGACCCUCUCGGCUUCUUAAUCACCCUUGUCCUCUGUCCAAGAGUUGCAAGUAGUUUCUGGUGUUUGUAGUAUGCUGGAGGCCGUGGGCAGCGCUGACCGGAGGGGUGGGCUGUGAUGCGGUAGGCACGUGGCACGGUGUACCGGGCGCCCGUUUGGUGUCUCGGGAACCCUGUUCACAUCGUUUGGGGCUGUGAGCGAAACCCCGGCCGGAUCUCAUGGAUGGAACCCGAAUAGGCGAUAAACCUGGACUAGAGACUUGAGUGUUUAGGUAGGCCGUGGCCGACACCCACGUUGGGCUUCCGCUUGAAGGUUGCCGAGUACAUGUCGUGUAAACGGCGGUAAGUGGUGAGAGCGUGUGUGAAGAAGUACACCCCUGCAGGGUUAACAUCAUCUAUUCGAAUAGCCGUGUCCGCGGCAAAGGACUUCUUGGUUGCUUAUAUCAGUUCAUAGACAAGUGAAAGUGGAUACUUUAAAAUACGCAAGAUAAGCGUGAGUGCUACGGAUGGCGUUCUCGUAGGGAGACGGGAGCGGAUCCAUAGUGGUGUAUUGAUAUGGUGAAUAUGUGGACUCGUGUGCGCCACCUCAAAAGAGUCGCUUGCAGUCGUAGUUUAGGUUAACCACCGAGUCAAAGUUGGCUUGCUGCAGUUAAACCCCACCAUCCCCUUUGUUGAUAAUGAUGCAUAUGUAGUUAGUUCUGAUGUAAGUCUUGUUGGGUACAUUUGUACUCACGUUUGCCUAUUUUAUGUUUUUGCAGAGAGACUUCAGUCUCACUAGUAGUUUCGCGUGGACUUCGACGUUUAGCUUGUUACCUCAGCUACGAUCUUGUGCCUCGGCAAGAUUUGGUAGAUAGUCAGGCUUCUCAGCCUUUUUCAUUUAUAGAUGUCUGUACUCAGACAUGAUAGCUUCCGCUUGUGUUUUGACUUGUAUGCUCUGAAUGUUGGGUCGUAGGACCCCUGUUUGUAAUAUCUCGCUCCUCGGAGCCUAAUGAAUAAAUACUUGAGUUGUAGAGUCAUGUUGUGAUGCCAUGUUGUAUUUGCACAUAUCGAGCAUAUUGUGUGUAUGUUAUUGAAAUGCUUGGUAUGUGUGGGAUCUGACUAUCUAGUUGUUUAUCUUUAGUAGCCUCUCUUACCGGGAAAUGUCUCCUAGUGUUUCCACCGAGCCAUGGUAGCUUGCUACUGCUCCGGAACACUUAGGCUGGCCGGCAUGUGUCCUUCUUCGUCCCUGUGUCUGUCCCCUCGGGGAAAUGUCACGCGAUGAAUACCGGAGUCCUGUUAGCCCACUACAGCCCGGUUCACCGGAGUCCUGCUAGCCCAGAGCUACAACCUGGAUUCACUCGCUGAUGACCGACACGUUCGAUGCUGGGUCAUGGAUGCCUGUCCCUGUAAGUUUGUGCCACUUUGGGUUUACGACUAGCCAUGUCAGCCCGGGCUCCUUAUCAUAUGGAUGCUAGCGACACUAUCAUAUACGUGUGCCAAAAGGCGCAAACGGUCCCGGGCAAAGGUAAGGCGACACCCGUGGAAUACCGUGCGUGAGGCCGCAAAGUGAUAUGAGGUGUUACAUGCUAGAUCGAUGUGGCAUUGAGUCGGGGUCCUGACACUUGUUGAGAGAAACCAAGCAUGUGAGUGAUUUAGUAGCAGGGACAAAUAACAGAGAAGGGAAUGACCUGGAGACAAGCGAUGUCGAUGAGCCCGUCGUCGUAGUCGACGACAGAGCAGUGCUACAACCAGAUGUCCAAGGAUCCGCGAUUGUUGUGGAUGCCCUCGAUGUCGUGGCUGCGGCCGGCCUCGAACUGGACUGAAAUAAUUCAAAAUUAGUACCGACGACAUUUGGCAGCAGUAAAAUACUAAUGCAUCUAAUUAUGAUGCCAUAUGUGGCCAGUAAACAAACUUAGAUGUGCUCCAGAUGUGCUCAACUAAUAACCAAAGUAAAUAUGGCCAAUAAUAUAACCUCUCCCUUUUGGUUUUGCCUUGCAUCAUGCCAAGAUAAGAAUAGCAAAAGGAUGUAACUUUCCUAGCCUAGUCCUGGGUGAAGAACUGACGAUAGGUAGAAAGCCUCGAUUUGAACAACAAAGUAUAAAUUGUACGGAAAAAGUAUUACCAUUAUAUUUAUAUAGGAAAGAAGUUUCUGAUGGUACAUUUUGUAGGCAUAUAACAUAUAUUUUGUUGGUCAAGUCCAUGAUCAGGGUUCAGAAAUUAGAUUUGAUAUGGGGCUUAUAGAAGGGGAAAAUGGAAAUUAUGGUCGCCAGUUAGUAUUGGGGCUUGAUUUUUACUGGUGGUACAUAAGAUCCACCAUUAGUUUCCUUGGAAUUGGAGGGGCAGUAAAUUGCUUUUGGAGAUACGAGUGAAGCAACACACUAGCAGAAGACAAUGGAGGAACAAGAAAGCAGAAAACACCCGGUUCUGUUUACAUAAAUGUUGCUACUUUGCUUUAGUCCAGCCAAGUAAAAAAGAGAGGCAGAGUGAAACUGGAAAUGUUCUAAAAAAGUGAAACUGGAAACAAAAUAAAAGAGGUUCCCAUCCUGUAACGCACUGCAACCAAAGCCUGGACACCAUUGUCUUUCUGUUCAUGCGACCGUCCAUCUGCAUAUAAACUGGCGAAGGAGAUCGGUCGAGGCAGAGACUUGUUACCUUGUUGCAGGGGCCAUUGUUUUAACAGGAAGCAUUAGCUUUGAUGACGUGCAAAUGAAAACUGAAUCUGCAAGCCCGUUUCAUUCGUUCUUUCUGUGUACGCAGCAACCUAUGUACUUGUACAUGGCUUGUCCAUAGUUCUCCAAACGCUAGAUCUGAAAUUAGAAAUGUGUCUUUGUGAUGCUUUUGGGACAACAGUUUAGAAAUCCCAAUUCUGAAAAAUGGGUUAUAUUUAGUUUAUUUUCUGCUUGAGACAUCAAGUAUGAUUUGUUACUGCUUCGUUUUUAAAUUAGAAUGUGCCAAAAAAUAGAAAUUAGCUACCAUAUCAGAAAAUCACUUAAUCCAGAGUACAAUUCAAAUUCAGAUUAACCAAUAGAAGCCUAGUCACUGAAUAACCAAUAGAAACUCAUGCAAGGUUUUGAUAUAAAUGGCACAAGAAAAAUUGAACAGUUCACUUAUCAACCAGCCUACCUGCGGCUUCACUGAAUAUCUUUGCAUUCUUUCCCCAUUGUCUUCAUCCUUGCAGCUAACCAAAAUGGUUGUAGUACCCUGAAACAUUUUAUGCUCGAAGUUAAUGAGAGUUCAUUUACACCAUAAAGAAAUUCAGAAUUGGCUUGCAGCCACAUGCUUUGUUAAAUUAACAUUAUGUAAUGUUUCAGCAGGACCGAGGACAUAAUUCAGCAUGUUUUAUGUUGACAUUUAAUAUGACAAUUUUCUGGAUUUGCCGGCAUGAAAAUAUAAGCAUAUUGGGUGGACAUAAUUACUCAUUUGUGAGAUACAUUACUAAAUUUAUCAACAAUGAUAUGAGUUCCUAGUACGAGGAAACAUCCUAUACAUAAGGAACAACAUACUUGGACUUAUCCAGAAGGAGUGAAUCAACUUGAAUAAUAAGAUUUUUUUUAUCGAGAGAGAAACUUGAAUAAUAAUUUAAGAAAAACUUGAAACAUCACCUAUGAUGGGGGCUCAUCAGCACACCGGUCUGUGGCCUCUCUCUUCUCCCUUUCUCCAUACCAAGAACAUCGUGUCCCGCUUCCAGCCCACGCGCCGCCCGCCACGUGGGUCGGCUCGAGGUUGCGUCAGUGUGUGCA
This 15620-nucleotide long non-coding RNA is filed under the name Triticum aestivum (bread wheat). Its description in RNAcentral is "long non-coding RNA (TAES_LNC001594)". The record is from RNAcentral. Lineage: Eukaryota; Viridiplantae; Streptophyta; Magnoliopsida; Poales; Poaceae.